Molecule: ribosomal RNA, 497 nt
Filed under: uncultured bacterium
Lineage: Bacteria
Description: partial 16S ribosomal RNA
Rfam family: Bacterial small subunit ribosomal RNA
Source: RNAcentral
GAUGAACGCUGGCGGCGUGCCUAAUACAUGCAAGUCGAGCGAACGGACGAGAAGCUUGCUUUUCUGAUGUUAGCGGCGGACGGGUGAGUAACACGUGGAUAACCUACCUAUAAGACUGGGAUAACUUCGGGAAACCGGAGCUAAUACCGGAUAAUAUUUUGAACCGCAUGGUUCAAAAGUGAAAGACGGUCUUGCUGUCACUUAUAGAUGGAUCCGCGCUGCAUUAGCUAGUUGGUAAGGUAACGGCUUACCAAGGCAACGAUGCAUAGCCGACCUGAGAGGGUGAUCGGCCACACUGGAACUUAGACACGGUCCAGACUCCUACGGGAGGCAGCAGUAGGGAAUCUUCCGCAAUGGGCGAAAGCCUGACGGAGCAACGCCGCGUGAGUGAUGAAGGUCUUAGGAUCGUAAAACUCUGUUAUUAGGGAAGAACAUAUGUGUAAGUAACUGUGCACAUCGUGACGGUACCUAAUCAGAAAGCCACGGCUAACUACGUG